Molecule: ribosomal RNA, 384 nt
Filed under: uncultured bacterium
Lineage: Bacteria
Description: bacterial SSU rRNA
Rfam family: Bacterial small subunit ribosomal RNA
Source: RNAcentral
AUUGAACGCUGGCGGCAUGCCUUACACAUGCAAGUCGAACGGCAGCGCGGGGCAACCUGGCGGCGAGUGGCGAACGGGUGAGUAACAUAUCGGAACAUACCCUAGAGUGGGGGAUAACGUAGCGAAAGUUACGCUAAUACCGCAUACGCACUAAGGUGGAAAGUGGGGGAUCUUCGGACCUCAUGCUCAUGGAGUGGCCGAUAUCUGAUUAGCUAGUUGGUGAGGUAAAGGCUCACCAAGGCGACGAUCAGUAGCUGGUUUGAGAGAACGACCAGCCACACUGGAACUGAGACACGGUCCAGACUCCUACGGGAGGCAGCAGUGGGGAAUAUUGGACAAUGGGGGCAACCCUGAUCCAGCCAUGCCGCGUGUGUGAAGAAGGCC